Molecule: ribosomal RNA, 468 nt
Filed under: uncultured bacterium
Lineage: Bacteria
Description: partial 16S ribosomal RNA
Rfam family: Bacterial small subunit ribosomal RNA
Source: RNAcentral
GACGAACGCUGGCGGCGUGCUUAACACAUGCAAGUCGAACGGAAAGGCCCUGCUUUUGUGGGGUGCUCGAGUGGCGAACGGGUGAGGAACACGUGAGUAACCGGCCCUUGACUUUGGGAUAACUUCAGGAAACUGGGGCUAAUACCGGAUAGGAGCUCCUGCUCCAUGGUGGGCGUGGGAACUUUUCGGCCGUUGUGGAUGGAUGCGCGGCUUAUCAGCUUGUUGGUGGGGUAGGGGAUUACCAAGCCUUUGACGGGUAGCCGGCAUGAGAGGGGGACCGGGCACAAUGGGACUGAGAGACGGACCAGACUCCAACGGGAGGCAGCAGUGGGGAGCAUUGCACAAUGGGAGGAAGCCUGAGGCAGCAGCGCCGCGGGCGGGAUGACGGCCUUUGGGUUAUGAACAGCUUCAGCCUGUGACGAAGCGGGAGUGACGGUAAUCAGUAAAGAAGCACCGGCUAACUACGUG